GGUUUGGUCCCGUUACUCGGAGGUUCGAUCCUUCCGUCCCAGA
This 43-nucleotide transfer RNA is filed under the name Epidendrum tridactylum. RNAcentral describes it as "partial tRNA-Gln". The record is from RNAcentral. Lineage: Eukaryota; Viridiplantae; Streptophyta; Magnoliopsida; Asparagales; Orchidaceae.